RNAcentral lists this ribosomal RNA (268 nucleotides) under Escherichia coli. RNAcentral's name for it is "partial 23S ribosomal RNA". It matches the Rfam family "Bacterial large subunit ribosomal RNA", at positions 1 to 269 of the family's 2925-position model. The record is from RNAcentral. Lineage: Bacteria; Pseudomonadati; Pseudomonadota; Gammaproteobacteria; Enterobacterales; Enterobacteriaceae.
GGUUAAGCGACUAAGCGUACACGGUGGAUGCCCUGGCAGUCAGAGGCGAUGAAGGACGUGCUAAUCUGCGAUAAGCGUCGGUAAGGUGAUAUGAACCGUUAUAACCGGCGAUUUCCGAAUGGGGAAACCCAGUGUGUUUCGACACACUAUCAUUAACUGAAUCCAUAGGUUAAUGAGGCGAACCGGGGGAACUGAAACAUCUAAGUACCCCGAGGAAAAGAAAUCAACCGAGAUUCCCCCAGUAGCGGCGAGCGAACGGGGAGCAGCC